CCUACAUGAAGCUGGAGUUACUAGUAAUCGCAGAUCAGAAUGCUGCGGUGAAUGCGUUCCCGGGUCUUGUACACACCGCCCGUCACACCACGGGAGUUGGAGACGCCCGAAGCCGAUUAUCUAACCUGUUGGAAGAAGUCGUCGAAGGUGGAAUCAAUAACUGGGGUGAAGUCGUAACAAGGUAGCCGUAUCGGAAGGUGCGGCUGGAUCACCUCCUUUCUAAGGAGA
RNAcentral lists this ribosomal RNA (228 nucleotides) under Clostridioides difficile. RNAcentral describes it as "partial 16S ribosomal RNA". It matches the Rfam family "Bacterial small subunit ribosomal RNA", at positions 1315 to 1533 of the family's 1533-position model. Lineage: Bacteria; Bacillati; Bacillota; Clostridia; Peptostreptococcales; Peptostreptococcaceae. The record is from RNAcentral.